CUUGAGUGCGUCGGGGCAACGAGUGGGGACAGACAGACACAGAGGGAAGACCACGUGAGGACACGCGGAGCAGGCGGCCAUCUGCAACCCAGGAGACGGGCCUCGGAGAAACCAAACCUGCGCCGCCUGGGUCUCGCACUCCGAGCCUCCAGACGGAGGAAACACGCGUGUUUCAGCCCGGCAGUCUGAUACUUCAUGAUGGCCACCCAGCGAAUGACGUCCCUGGCGGCGGGCUCUGCUACGCCUUUUACUUUGCCUCGCGUCCCGCUCUUGCUCGCGGUUCCCCCAUCUCAAGACCCCACAAGGCGCUGCCCUGGCAUCCUGUGCUCAGGCUCCUCUGGGCAAAGAUUCACUGUAGGGAUGUUCUCUGUGCAACUCCUGCCGGGCCUGUCCAUCUGCAGCUGCUCUCAGGCCACCAGGAAAGUUCUGGGCAGCCUCAGGCAGAGCCUAGGCCUGGUUUAGAGUGGAGUUUCCAGAUGCAUGCCACCAUCCACAGCCGCUCCAUCCUAGGGAACUCUGGGCCUGGGAUUGCCAGAUAAAGUACAGAACACCCAGUUAAAUUUGAAUUUCAGAUAAACAACAAAUAAUGUUUCAGUAUAAGUAUAUCCUAAAUAUUGCACAGGCAUCCUUAUACUAAAACAUUAUUUGUUUACCUGAAAUUCAGAUUUUACUGAGCAUCCUGGAUUUUUAUUUGCUACCCUACCAGCGUCGUGGGGAGUCCAGGGCACUCCGCAUAAAGACACUUUGAGAGAAUUUUCCUCCACAUCCUUCAGGAAAUCUGGACCAAAAGCUGGCCAGAGGCAGGAGCACCCCACAUCCCUCAGCCCUGAGCAGAAGCAGGCUUCCCAGGCCCACCUUGUCCUAACCCUGGUACCCACGAUAGCACCAGAGACUGCAAUCUCCAAGUGUCGCCGUGGAGAGCAAACAAGACACCACACGGACAACCUUAACACAGUGCCUGACAGAAAGCAAGUGCUGGAUAAAUGCUAGCGCACUGCUGCGGGAGCCUCUCCACUUCUGUUUACAUCUCCUGCCCCAACACUCUAGCACACACGAGUUCUCCUAACUGAGCCCCAGCAGUGCUCUGAAGGCCUGGAGCUAACGACAAGCUCUGUGAGCUCCAGCUCCUGGAAACUUUCCCAGGAAAAUUUGGGAUGCAGAGAUGUGGGAUAGAAGACAGAUGGCUUUGGCAUUUUGUGGUAUGGGUAGUGAAAGGUCAGUUAGCUCUGUAGGAGAGAGCUCAGUGCCGCAGGGAUCUGGCCCAUGAGAUAGUCUUCCUCACCUCUAUCACCUAACCCUCCCCAGUCCCAGGUUGUACAGAGUUCAUUGACCCCCUCCCCUACCUUCCAUGGACACUGGGCCUGGGCCCCAAACAAAGGAAUGCGUCUGGCCUCGGGGCCAAAGAUGGCCACUUCGGCCUUGACUCUAAGGCACCACUUACAAAAAAAUAUGUCCUGCGUCAUGUUCCUUGUCUAGCCUGGCCACCCGGAAGGGCACCUGACAGGACUUUAGAAACAUCCCAUCCGUAGGAACAAAAAUGGUAAAAGCACCCCAUCCGUGGGAACAAG
This 1568-nucleotide long non-coding RNA is filed under the name Equus caballus (horse). RNAcentral describes it as "lncRNA (ENSECAG00000057224.1)". The record is from RNAcentral. Lineage: Eukaryota; Metazoa; Chordata; Mammalia; Perissodactyla; Equidae.